This 240-nucleotide unclassified non-coding RNA is filed under the name soil metagenome. RNAcentral's name for it is "partial contains 5.8S ribosomal RNA, internal transcribed spacer 2, and large subunit ribosomal RNA". The record is from RNAcentral.
AAGACUAUAGACCUGCGGAGUACCUGCGGAAGGAUCAUUAUUGAAUUAUGUUUCUAAGUGGGUUGUAGCUGGCUCGUCAGAGCAUGUGCACGCCUGUUUGGACUUCAUUUUCAUCCACCUGUGCACCUAUUGUAGUCUUUGGUUGGGUAUCAAGGAAGUGGUCAGCCUAUCAGCACUUGCUGGAUGUGAGGACUUGCAGUGUGAAAGCUUUGCUGUCCUUUACUUGAUCAUGGAGUUGUU